Molecule: ribosomal RNA, 1540 nt
Filed under: Acinetobacter pittii
Lineage: Bacteria; Pseudomonadati; Pseudomonadota; Gammaproteobacteria; Moraxellales; Moraxellaceae
Description: bacterial SSU rRNA
Rfam family: Bacterial small subunit ribosomal RNA
Source: RNAcentral
ACCCUUUAAAGUUUGAAUCUGGCUCAGAUUGAACGCUGGCGGCAGGCUUAACACAUGCAAGUCGAGCGGAGAGAGGUAGCUUGCUACUGAUCUUAGCGGCGGACGGGUGAGUAAUGCUUAGGAAUCUGCCUAUUAGUGGGGGACAACAUUUCGAAAGGAAUGCUAAUACCGCAUACGUCCUACGGGAGAAAGCAGGGGAUCUUCGGACCUUGCGCUAAUAGAUGAGCCUAAGUCGGAUUAGCUAGUUGGUGGGGUAAAGGCCUACCAAGGCGACGAUCUGUAGCGGGUCUGAGAGGAUGAUCCGCCACACUGGGACUGAGACACGGCCCAGACUCCUACGGGAGGCAGCAGUGGGGAAUAUUGGACAAUGGGCGCAAGCCUGAUCCAGCCAUGCCGCGUGUGUGAAGAAGGCCUUAUGGUUGUAAAGCACUUUAAGCGAGGAGGAGGCUACUUUAGUUAAUACCUAGAGAUAGUGGACGUUACUCGCAGAAUAAGCACCGGCUAACUCUGUGCCAGCAGCCGCGGUAAUACAGAGGGUGCAAGCGUUAAUCGGAUUUACUGGGCGUAAAGCGCGCGUAGGCGGCUAAUUAAGUCAAAUGUGAAAUCCCCGAGCUUAACUUGGGAAUUGCAUUCGAUACUGGUUAGCUAGAGUGUGGGAGAGGAUGGUAGAAUUCCAGGUGUAGCGGUGAAAUGCGUAGAGAUCUGGAGGAAUACCGAUGGCGAAGGCAGCCAUCUGGCCUAACACUGACGCUGAGGUGCGAAAGCAUGGGGAGCAAACAGGAUUAGAUACCCUGGUAGUCCAUGCCGUAAACGAUGUCUACUAGCCGUUGGGGCCUUUGAGGCUUUAGUGGCGCAGCUAACGCGAUAAGUAGACCGCCUGGGGAGUACGGUCGCAAGACUAAAACUCAAAUGAAUUGACGGGGGCCCGCACAAGCGGUGGAGCAUGUGGUUUAAUUCGAUGCAACGCGAAGAACCUUACCUGGCCUUGACAUAGUAAGAACUUUCCAGAGAUGGAUUGGUGCCUUCGGGAACUUACAUACAGGUGCUGCAUGGCUGUCGUCAGCUCGUGUCGUGAGAUGUUGGGUUAAGUCCCGCAACGAGCGCAACCCUUUUCCUUAUUUGCCAGCGAGUAAUGUCGGGAACUUUAAGGAUACUGCCAGUGACAAACUGGAGGAAGGCGGGGACGACGUCAAGUCAUCAUGGCCCUUACGGCCAGGGCUACACACGUGCUACAAUGGUCGGUACAAAGGGUUGCUACCUAGCGAUAGGAUGCUAAUCUCAAAAAGCCGAUCGUAGUCCGGAUUGGAGUCUGCAACUCGACUCCAUGAAGUCGGAAUCGCUAGUAAUCGCGGAUCAGAAUGCCGCGGUGAAUACGUUCCCGGGCCUUGUACACACCACCCGUCACACCAUGGGAGUUUGUUGCACCAGAAGUAGCUAGCCUAACUGCAAAGAGGGCGGUUACCACGAUGUGGACCGAUGACUGGGGUGAAAUCGUAAGGGAGUAACCGCGGUUAGGAAGAGAGCCUUGGGACGAAGCGUG